UACGGGGGGGGCAAGCGUUGUUCGGAAUUACUGGGCGUAAAGGGCUCGUAGGUGGCCAACUAAGUCAGACGUGAAAUCCCUCGGCUUAACCGGGGAACUGCGUCUGAUACUGGAUGGCUUGAGUUCGGGAGAGGGAUGCGGAAUUCCUGGUGUAGCGGUGGAAUGCGCAGAUAUCAGGAGGAACACCGGUGGCGAAGGCGGGUCUCUGGGCAGUAACUGACGCUGAGGAGCGAAAGUGUGGGGAGCGAACAGG
This 253-nucleotide ribosomal RNA is filed under the name uncultured bacterium. RNAcentral's name for it is "partial 16S ribosomal RNA". It matches the Rfam family "Bacterial small subunit ribosomal RNA", at positions 524 to 776 of the family's 1533-position model. The record is from RNAcentral.